RNAcentral lists this ribosomal RNA (2643 nucleotides) under Triticum aestivum (bread wheat). RNAcentral's name for it is "partial small subunit ribosomal RNA". Lineage: Eukaryota; Viridiplantae; Streptophyta; Magnoliopsida; Poales; Poaceae. The record is from RNAcentral.
AUGGAUUGGAAGGCACGACUGGUGAGCUCCAUCGAGGCGGCCGUGGAGGCGGCUGUGGAGACGGCCGUCAAUCGCGCGGUACAGACGGCUGUCAAGGAGACGCGUGCCUACACCGAUGGCUCGAGGCAACGCAUCGGCGAGAAGAUCAAAGAGAGACGCCAUGCUCGAGCGGUGGGCAUCCACAACGUCGUCGCCACCGCUUCCGACAUGCCUGCUGCGACCACCUCCGAGGCCUCCUUCAACUGCGGCGCCACUCUACAGCUCGGCAAAGAGCCGGGCGUGGCCGCGUCCAACAGCAUGGACCUUGCGGCCACGUUGCCCAGAAGGUGUUCGACACAGUGCCCAAGCUACGCCGUCACCGUGCCGGUGUCAACGGCCGCUUCCGCCGUAACAACAGCUCCGUCCAACCUCACCGCCAGCGUCGACCCCGAGCACUACUGCUUCGGCCUCGAGCUAACGACCACGACCUCGACUCCGACCUCUACACUGGAUGUCUCGGGCGCAUGCUCAACAGCGGCGAACUCCCUCACUCACGGCGCCAUCUCCACCACCAUAAUUCCAGCGCCAGAGGCAACGGCGGUGAUGGCCAUGGACAUCUCCAUGCCGACCCCCGCGUCCGCAUCAGGCGACAUCAACUUCCCUGCAUCACCAACUUCGGGUACUUAUGAUGUCUGCAUCGUGCUCCCAGCCUCUAAAGUCCUGGGCGUCGACCCGAUCACCAGCGGAGAAGACCCCGUGGACAUGUUCCGGGCUUCGGGGAGUGCAGCCUUGAUCUUGUCUCAGGAGGACUCGCCAGCUCUGUUGUAUGAGCCACUGACAGUUUUUGAGCGAGACAUGUUACCGCCCACCACCUGUUCGACUGAGUGCUCAAGAAGCAAUCUGGACGCACCAUCUCUUGCGUUCUCGACUACUCAUAUCACAGCAACAAGGUUGUUGCCAGCAGCAGCAUCGUUUCUCGAUUCGGAGCUCAUGGUGCAAGCUUGGAUGUCACCAACAGCCUGCUCCUCCGUCUCGGUGCGUGAGGACGACAUCAACAGCAACGACACAUACACCAUGGAGGUGCCCAUGACCAAGGAUGACAUGUUCCUGACCAAUCCAGUAGUGCCAGCAGUCUCACAUGUCCACCCCCUGAAAUUUCCUGAUGGUUGCUUGCAUGGAAACAAAACCCAAUUGCUCAUUGGCAGCUAUGUUGCUAGUACUGAUUCACCAUGGGACCCUGGACAACAAGCAUCCAUGUCCUUGUUGGGUGUUGGAGUGACAAAAAUUUCAUCGAACGACACUGUCAAGGACAACCAAAAACCCUUUUUCAGAUGGGAAAUUGCCUGGUUGUUCUACUUGGAAUAUCCUGAUAUUGGUAUUGACAAGGUCAAGCCACAAUUGUGUCCAGCAAGCAGAGAAAGUUUUGGAUUAAACCCACUGGAAUCAACACAAGCCAGUACUCAUGUAUUUUGCCCCAGCAGGAAGAAAGUUGUACAGUUGGUCAGACGACAGUUGUCGAUUCCUGAGUCUGAUGCUAGCAUAUUGUUACUCGAAGGACUACCUCUAUUUUCUAUUCACUUGACAGUGGGGUCAUCUGGUGCUGGAUCAGCCUGUUUAUGCAAUGGGAUUAUUACCAUCGCGUUCUGGACACACUUCAAACCGGGCAUGCUUACUCCAUUGCAUUACAAGGAUUUGAGCUUCUGGCGAUAUAUAAGUGUGGACCAGAUGAUGCAGAAAACUGGGCAUGUUAUUCAGUCUGGUCUGGAGCAUAUCCAAUGGAAGAUUGCAUGGUCGCUUAACUUGAAAAACUUAAAUGUUGUCAACCAGUCCGAGCAAACAAUUCUUGCCGCAACAUACCCUAAGUUGUAUUUUCCGUGGCACCCAGGCGAUGACCUGGUACAACAUAUCCUCUUGCUGGAGGUCAGCUGCCUAAACUGCAAAAGGCUCAUUGUUGAUGCUGCUACACAAUAUGAUUUUGAAUGUUUUGCUUGGGAAUUUACAUGGUCACUUCACUCAGUGUGUUGUGCUGGCAUGGCAAAUACUGUACCAUUUCAGUUCUCUGUUUCUAUUGCCAUGAGGAGCUUCCGGAGCCUCGAGUUUUGUCAAGGGAAGUUGUCAUGGGAUCCAGGCAUCGGGGCCCUUCUCUAUUUCUUCGGAUUUUAUGCUCAAACUGAAGUAACAGGAAGGAGGAAUCUUAUAGCUCCAGCUUUCUACUCAGACAGUGUCUGUGUCGACCACCCCUACUACCUCGACGCAUUUUCUGACCAAGUGAACAUCAGCGACGAGUAUUUCCUUGAGCAAGUCGGUGUUGUAUGCUCCCUCAAUCUCGCCAAGUUCCGCCUCAACUACGGCACCCACUACGACCUCGGCGAAGUCUUGAAGCAUCAAGCACCAUGGGAUCUAGGAGGUUCGACAUGGCAUCGGCUUGAGGUCAAGCCGAAUUUCAAGGAAGGGGGAAUGUUAGCGACCAACCGUACACUCUUCACGGGCUGGGCCAUUGGUUGCGCCUAUUGGGCCUGGGCUGAUGGGAAGCAACAGAAGGCAGCAACUACAUAUACAAGCGAACGGGCUACGAACGACUCGGCUUGGAUCAGGACGGCUUCGACCUCCUCUGCUUCUGUCUCUUCUUCCUCUCGUGUUCCUCUCCUCCACUGUACUAGCUAA